UUGGCGUGGCGGGAUUUGUAAUUUUGCAGACAUGUCACAUCGUGCCUGCAACUGACCAGGUGGAGCUGGACCUAAACAUCGCUUCAACUGGGCUUUUGUUUAUCUUCAUCAUAACAGCGAUUCUUGUGCUUGGCACACUCAUUUGGCUCAAGCAGAUGGUGAUCAAUCCACACAUAGGUACUCCCAGCAGUAAAAGAUACUGUGGGUUCGACUUAUAGCCCAUUAAGAUGAUGACUUCAGCAGUGUUGCACAAGCACUGAUCAGAAAAUACCCCUGCCUCGCUGAGCCUGGACCACACAAAUGAUAUGGCUGGAUAAACAGCCUUAAAUUUAAGAUGGCCAAUUAUCGCACAAAGCUUCGAAAAGCUGGAUGUGAGGAUGUAGCAAUCCUGGUUGAAAAUGGUUGA
This is a long non-coding RNA of Carassius gibelio (silver crucian carp), 406 nucleotides long. RefSeq lists it as uncharacterized. The transcript is spliced from 3 exons. The record is from RefSeq and is a predicted model, not a curated record. NCBI's taxonomy places the organism in Eukaryota, Metazoa, Chordata, Actinopteri, Cypriniformes, Cyprinidae.